This 348-nucleotide transfer-messenger RNA is filed under the name Candidatus Cloacimonadota bacterium. Its description in RNAcentral is "Candidatus Cloacimonetes bacterium transfer-messenger RNA". It matches the Rfam family "transfer-messenger RNA". From Rfam's summary of the family: Bacterial tmRNA, also known as 10Sa RNA or SsrA, is named for its dual tRNA and mRNA-like properties. Its role is to liberate the mRNA from a stalled ribosome. The record is from RNAcentral. RNAcentral also lists the same sequence under 1 other name. Lineage: Bacteria; Pseudomonadati; Candidatus Cloacimonadota.
GGGGGCGAAUGGUCUCGACAGUGGUAUGGGGACUGAUGGUUGCAUGCCGAGGUGCCACAACCUCGUAAAAAGUGGCAAAAAUUUAAUUGGCACAAGCCAAGUUGCAUUUGCUGCAUAAACGCAGCAAACAUCUUCCAGGACUUUGUCUAUCGGGUUUUGUGAAGGUGACGGAUUGAUAGACUGGUUCUUCUGAGUUAUCCCAGUCAGAAGGAUAAGAUUUUAUGGGACUAUGCCUUUAGUGAAUCCUAUUCGGAGGAGUCCUUAAGGUGAAAUUAAAGCCCGAAAAAAGCAUGUAGUAGCUGUCAGUUUAGUACUACUGGACGUGGGUUCGAUUCCCACCGCCUCCAC